Molecule: ribosomal RNA, 460 nt
Filed under: uncultured bacterium
Lineage: Bacteria
Description: partial 16S ribosomal RNA
Rfam family: Bacterial small subunit ribosomal RNA
Source: RNAcentral
CCUACGGGUGGCAGCAGUGAGGAAUAUUGGUCAAUGGACGAGAGUCUGAACCAGCCAAGUAGCGUGAAGGAUGACUGCCCUAUGGGUUGUAAACUUCUUUUAUAUGGGAAUAAAACAUGGUAUGCAUACCCUCUUGUAUGUACCAUAUGAAUAAGGAUCGGCUAACUCCGUGCCAGCAGCCGCGGUAAUACGGAGGAUCCGAGCGUUAUCCGGAUUUAUUGGGUUUAACGGGAGCGUAGGUGGGUUGUUAAGUCAGUUGUGAAAGUUUGCGGGUUAACCGUAAAAUUGCAGUUGAAACUGGCAGUCUUGAGUACAGUAGAGGUAGGCGGAAUACGUGGUGUAGCAGUGAAAUGCUUAGAUAUAACGAAGAACUCCGAUUGCGAAGGCAGCUCACUGGACUGCAACUGACACUGAUGCUCGAAAGUGUGGGUAGCAAACAGGAUUAGAUACCCCAGUAGUC